UGGCCUGCCCMCUGAAUUGUUAAAUGGCCGCGGUACAUUGACCGUGCAAAGGUAGCAUAGUCAGUAGUUUUUUAAUUGAAAGCUUGUAUGAAAGGUUCGAUGAGAGAAAGACUGUCUCUAUAAGAUUUUGUUAGAAUUUUAUUUUUAAGUUAAAAAGCUUAAAUGUUGAUGGAAGACGAGAAGACCCUAUAGAGUUUAAUAGGCUAAGAUUUAGUUUAAUUUUCGGGAUUUUAUUUUGGACUAAUUUUAGUUUAUUUUGUUGGGGUGAUAGGAAAAUUAAUAAAACUUUUCUUUUAUUUUAUAUUGAUGAAUAGGUGGAUGAUCCUUAUUUAAAGAUAAAAAGAUCAAAUUACCUUAGGGAUAACAGCGUUAUUUUUUUUAGAGUUCUUAUCAAAAAAAAAGAUUGCGACCUCGAUGUUGGAUUAAAAUUAAUUAUUGGUGGAGAGGCUAAUAGGUUAGGUCUGUUCGACCUUUAAAAUUUUACAUGAUCUGAGUUUAAACCGGUGUGAGCC
Molecule: ribosomal RNA, 512 nt
Filed under: Trigonopterus moatensis
Lineage: Eukaryota; Metazoa; Arthropoda; Insecta; Coleoptera; Curculionidae
Description: partial large subunit ribosomal RNA
Source: RNAcentral